Molecule: ribosomal RNA, 272 nt
Filed under: uncultured bacterium
Lineage: Bacteria
Description: partial 16S ribosomal RNA
Rfam family: Bacterial small subunit ribosomal RNA
Source: RNAcentral
CCUACGGGACGCAGCAGUGGGGAAUAUUGCACAAUGGGGGAAACCCUGAUGCAGCGACGCCGCGUGAGCGAAGAAGUAUUUCGGUAUGUAAAGCUCUAUCAGCAGGGAAGAAAAAUGACGGUGCCUGAGUAAGAAGCACCGGCUAAAUACGUGCCAGCAGCCGCGGUAAUACGUAUGGUGCAAGCGUUAUCCGGAUUUACUGGGUGUAAAGGGUGCGCAGGCGGAGGUGCAAGUCAGCGGUCAAAUUGCGGGGCUCAACCCCGUACUGCCGU